ACAGGGCCUGUGAAGUAGGCAAGAAUAUGUAUGCGCGCGCGUGCGUGCGCGUGUGGGUGAGAACGCAAAAUCGAGAGAAACGACACUUUUCUGUCCUUGUUUCUGAAUCCCUACACACAUCCAGAAUCUGCUGGGAAAAGGAGAACACUGUCUGUUCCAGCCUGAGUCUACUGAAAAUGGAGCUGCCUUUGUCUCGCUGCAGUGUGUGUCAGCCAUUAACAUCAGCACCGAGCACAAAUCCCCCCAACAAACACACCAGCCCUCGCCUUCAAUCACCCCAACAAACACGACACAAUCCUGCGUCUUUACAUUUUAUACACACAAUACCGAGAGCACGGAUUCUUUACUGACAUGGCAACGAAGGAAGCCGUUUGGUCCCUUAUAACAAUGGCUCGUGUGAAAGUAUUUUUUUCUGAGAUUUUAGGUUGCAGUAAGACAAAUGGAGUGCUGGGAAUCAAACGUGACGGCGUGUAAAGGUGUGAUCACGAAGCCCCGAGAAGAGCGAGCGAGCGCCCGCGGAAACGCUGUCCGGGUGGAAGCGCGCGCACUCCGGAUACUGAGCGAACAAGGUUCCGCUCUGGAGUGCGGCCUCACCCCGAGAAGGAGCGUGGCUUCCAGAUGAAAACACACAACGCGAACGGCUGAAUCGCGAAUAAAAACAAAUCCGAUUGUUCAGAAAAGGCAAAAAAUAUAUAU
This is a long non-coding RNA of Silurus meridionalis, 696 nucleotides long. RefSeq lists it as uncharacterized. The transcript has 3 exons. The record is from RefSeq and is a predicted model, not a curated record. Lineage: Eukaryota; Metazoa; Chordata; Actinopteri; Siluriformes; Siluridae.